CCCCGAAACCCCUGGGCGUACACGCGGGUCUGCAAUGGUUUGAACAAUGGGCUGUAACUCCGAAAGGAAAAGCCAAUCCCGAAAUCAUAUCUCAUUGGAGAUUGUCGGCUGUAACCCGCUGACAUGAACGUGGAGUCCCUAGUAAUCGUGUGUCAUCAUCGCACGGUGAAUACUUCUCUGCUCCUUGCGCACACCGCCCGCCGCUCCUUCCGAGUGUGCUAAAAAUGUAUGUAUGGUCAGAAUGGUCAUAUCGAGUUUCUAGUAUGCUAGGAGGGAAAAGUCGUAAAUAAGUAACCCGGUCCUUUCCUGAUUACGAGGCGCAGCAGGCGCGAAACCUCAGCAAUACACGAAAGUGUGACUGGGUUACCCAAAGUGUUCAGUUUUGAACUGUGGUAGGUGAGUAAUGUCCCCUACUAGAAAGGAGAGGGCAAGGCUGGUGCCAGCCGCCGCGGUAAAACCAGCUCUUCAAGUGGUCGGGAUAAUUAUUGGGCUUAAAGUGUCCGUAGCCUGUUUAGUAAGUUCCUGGUAAAAUCGGGUAGCUUAACUAUCUGUAUGCUAGGAAUACUGCUAAACUAGAGGGCGGGAGAGGUCUGAGGUACUAC
Molecule: ribosomal RNA, 602 nt
Filed under: uncultured archaeon
Lineage: Archaea
Description: bacterial SSU rRNA
Rfam family: Archaeal small subunit ribosomal RNA (bases 1-308)
Source: RNAcentral